GACGAACGCUGGCGGCGUGCCUAAUACAUGCAAGUAGAACGCUGAAGGAGGAGCUUGCUUCUCUGGAUGAGUUGCGAACGGGUGAGUAACGCGUAGGUAACCUGCCUGGUAGUGGGGGAUAACUAUUGGAAACGAUAGCUAAUACCGCAUAAUAGCAGUUGUUGCAUGAUAACUGUUUGAAAGGUGCAAUUGCACCGCUACCAGAUGGACCUGCGUUGUAUUAGCUAGUUGGUGGGGUAACGGCUCACCAAGGCGACGAUACAUAGCCGACCUGAGAGGGUGAUCGGCCACACUGGGACUGAGACACGGCCCAGACUCCUACGGGAGGCAGCAGUAGGGAAUCUUCGGCAAUGGACGGAAGUCUGAACGAGCAACGCCGCGUGAGUGAAGAAGGUUUUCGGAUCGUAAAGCUCUGUUGUAAGAGAAGAACGAGUGUGAGAGUGGAAAGUUCACACUGUGACGGUAUCUUACCAGAAAGGGACGGCUAACUACGUG
This 495-nucleotide ribosomal RNA is filed under the name uncultured bacterium. RNAcentral describes it as "partial 16S ribosomal RNA". It matches the Rfam family "Bacterial small subunit ribosomal RNA", at positions 28 to 507 of the family's 1533-position model. The record is from RNAcentral.